AUGUCACCAAAGUUCAUUAAUGAUGCUCACCUGUCUCCUCCCUCAGUGGGUCCAGUCCUCCCACCCCUGAUGCUGCUGCCCCCCUCCUUUGAGGAGCUGCAGGAUGGGAAGGCCACGCUCCUCUGUCUGGCCUUGGAUCUGAUGAUUUGUUACAAUAAUCUUUCAUUUGUAUCACUCUGGUACACGUUUGGUGGAGGAACCAGACUGGAUGUUAACUUGGGUGAACGCCGUCCCACCCUUACGGUGCUGCCCCCCUCCAGUGAGGAGCUGCAGCAGGGGAAGGCCACCCUCAUGUGUCUGGCCAACAAGGGCUUCCCCUCAGACUGGAGUCUGUCCUGGACGCUGGACGGCAGCAGCAGCUUCACCUGGGAAGAAAACAAGAGCCCCGGGGUGCUGCAGAAGGACGGCCUCUACAGCUGGAGCAGCACCCUGAGGCUCCCUGCAGACCAGUGGAGGAAGGUGGGCUCUGUGACCUGUGAGGCCACCCAGGGCUCCCAGACUGCAGUCACACAGACGCUGAGGAGAGACCAGUGUUCCCAGUCCUGACCGCACUCUCUGAGACACUGAUAUUGGCUUUAAUCUGUGACUGCUCUCACUUUUUCUCUCCUGAUUAUUCUCUAGUUUCACUCAGUCAUCUUUGCUUUGUCUUGUUGGUCACUAUUCAAUAAUAAAGAUUUACUCUUCAACUUUCAA
Molecule: non-coding RNA, 693 nt
Organism: Fundulus heteroclitus (mummichog)
Lineage: Eukaryota; Metazoa; Chordata; Actinopteri; Cyprinodontiformes; Fundulidae
Source: the annotation of a RefSeq genome assembly